GACGAACGCUGGCGGCGUGCUUAACACAUGCAAGUCGAACGCUGAACCCGCUUCGGUGGGGGAUGUGUGGCGAACGGGUGAGUAACACGUGGGCAACCCGCCCCCGGCUCUGGGAUAACUCCAAGAAAUUGGGGCUAAUACCGGAUGUGACCGCUGGCCGCAUGGUCUGGUGGUGGAAAGGGUUUCCGGCUGGGGAUGGGCCCGCGGCCUAUCAGCUUGUUGGUGGGGUAGUGGCCUACCAAGGCGACGACGGGUAGCCGGCCUGAGAGGGUGACCGGCCACACUGGGACUGAGACACGGCCCAGACUCCUACGGGAGGCAGCAGUGGGGAAUAUUGCGCAAUGGGCGGAAGCCUGACGCAGCGACGCCGCGUGGGGGAUGACGGCCUUCGGGUUGUAAACCUCUUUCAGCAGGGACGAAGCGCAAGUGACGGUACCUGCAGAAAAAGCACCGGCCAACUACGUG
This 465-nucleotide ribosomal RNA is filed under the name uncultured bacterium. Its description in RNAcentral is "partial 16S ribosomal RNA". It matches the Rfam family "Bacterial small subunit ribosomal RNA", at positions 28 to 507 of the family's 1533-position model. The record is from RNAcentral.